AUGGAGUCCCGGGCCAUUAGUCCCGGCGAGACGGCGCUGCCGUACGCGUACGCGCCGCUGGCGCCCUCCGACGUCGCGGAGGAGCGCCGGGGCGGCGGCGGCGGCGGGGUGAGGUGGCGCGCGUGCGUGGCCGUGCUGGCCGCGUCCGCCGUGGUGGUGCUGGUCGUGGCCAGCGCGCUGGCCGGGUCCGGCAGGGUGGACCGGGUCGUGGGCGGCGACGUGGUCGCGGACAUGCCGCCGCUGGCGGAGACGGCGCGGAGCCGCGGCCGGGACGCCGGCGUGUCGGAGAAGACCUCCGGGGCGGCCGACGAGAUGGUGGGGCUCCUUGGCGCCGGCGGCGACGCCGACGGGUUCCCCUGGAGCAACGCCAUGCUGCAGUGGCAGCGCACCGGCUUCCAUUUCCAGCCCGAGAAGAACUGGAUGAACGAUCCCAACGGUCCCGUGUACUACCGCGGAUGGUACCACCUCUUCUACCAGUACAACCCGGAGGGGGCGGUGUGGGGGAACAUCGCGUGGGGCCACGCCGUGUCCCGCGACCUCAUCCACUGGCGCCACCUCCCCCUCGCCAUGGUGCCCGACCAGUGGUACGACAUCAACGGCGUCUGGACCGGCUCCGCCACCGUGCUCCCCGACGGCUCCCUCGUCAUGCUCUACACCGGCUCCACCAACGCCUCCGUGCAGGUCCAGUGCCUCGCCGUCCCCGCCGACCCCAACGACUCCCUCCUCCGCAACUGGACCAAGUACGAGGCCAACCCCAUCCUCGUCCCGCCGCCCGGCAUCGGCGACAAGGACUUCCGCGACCCCACCACCGCAUGGUUCGACGAGUCCGACAAGACCUGGCGCACCGUCAUCGGCUCCAAGGACAACCAUGGCCACACCGGCAUCGUCAUGACCUACAAGACCAAGGACUUUAUCAACUACGAGCUCAUACCCGGCCUGCUCCACAGCGUCCCCGGCACCGGCAUGUGGGAGUGCAUCGACUUCUACCCCGUCGGCGGCGCCGAUGGAUCGGAGGAGCUGUACGUGAUGAAGGAGAGCAGCGACGACGACCGCCACGACUGGUACGCGCUCGGGAGGUACGACGCCGCGGCCAACAAGUACACGCCGAUAGACCCGGAGAUGGAUGUCGGGAUCGGGCUGAGGUACGACUGGGGCAAGUUCUACGCGUCCAAGACCUUCUACGACCCCUCCAAGAACCGCCGCGUGCUCUGGGGGUGGAUCGGCGAGACCGACUCCGAGCGCGCCGACGUCGCCAAGGGAUGGGCGUCCCUCCAGUCGAUCCCGAGGACGGUGGAGCUGGAUGAGAAGACCCGGACCAACCUCAUCCAGUGGCCCGUGGUCGAGAUCGAGACGCUCCGCAUCAACUCCACCGACCUCGGCGGCACCACCAUCGACACCGGCAGUGUGCUCCCUCUCCCGCUCCGUCGUGCCACCCAACUCGACAUCGAGGCCACCUUCCACCUCGACACCUCCGCUGUUGCCACUGUGAACGAAGCCGACGUUGGCUACAACUGCAGCACCAGCGGUGGUGCCGCCAACCGUGGCGCUCUCGGCCCCUUCGGACUCCUCGUCCUCGCUGACGGCGCCCUCAAGGAGCAGACGGCGGUGUACUUCUACGUGUCGAGGGGCCUCGAUGGCGGCCUCCAGACCCAUUUCUGCCAGGACGAGUCACGGUCGUCGCUGGCCCAGGACGUCGUGAAGCGGGUGGUCGGCUUCACUGUGCCAGUGCUCGACGGUGAGGAUCUAUCCCUCAGGGUGCUGGUGGACCACUCGAUCGUGGAGACCUUCGCCAUGGGUGGAAGGUCCACCGCGACGUCGAGGGUGUACCCGACAGAGGCCAUCUACGCCGCCGCUGGCGUUUACCUUUUCAACAACGCCACCGGUGCCGCCGUCACCGUCGAGAAGCUCGUGGUGCACGAGAUGGACGACUCCUACAACCAGAUCUUCACGGCCGACGACGCCUCGGCCGCCUUGUAG
This 1977-nucleotide ribosomal RNA is filed under the name Triticum aestivum (bread wheat). RNAcentral describes it as "partial small subunit ribosomal RNA". The record is from RNAcentral. Lineage: Eukaryota; Viridiplantae; Streptophyta; Magnoliopsida; Poales; Poaceae.